GCUGCAACAACAGAAGGGACAGUGUCAGACCCAGAGCAGAAAGGCAGGAUAUGUACAGUAUGUAAAACAAGAGUUCUUUCUCCCACCCUGGACAUUUUUUUUUUCAGGUCAGGAAUGCCUUGAGAAACUGCAAGUCACUUCUGGUGUGAGACAAUUGGCUGUCUGCAAGAACGUUGCCCAGGGAUGCUGGCCGGAUGUUUUGAUCAUCCUUGUGGGAAACUUCUCUCAUGUUCUUGGCUGAAGCUGAUAGAAGGAGCUCACUCAUGCUCUCCCCAGGCUGGAUAAGAACUGGCAAUUUUCAGACCUCUAUGCAGAGACCAUCACUGAUUGACUUUGUAGCUGCAAGGCUAUUCAAUGCUGGCUCAGCACUUUAUCCGCUACUGACCCCAAGCCCUCCUGUUGCACAAGACUUGAAUAGCACUUUAUAGUUAGCCAUCCCAAUGUUGAACUCUGGGUCAUUAUAACUGGCCCAUAAAUGGAAUAUUGUUACUACCGGUAGUUUUAUUUUUCAUUGUUGUAUGGCUCUGUUUUUAUUAUGUGCAUUGUAUUGUAUUGUAUUGUUUUUAUCAUGUUAGAAACUGCCCUGAGUCCCCUGAGGAGAUAGGGCGGUAUAUAAAUAAAGUUUCUCUUAUUAUUAUUAUAA
This is a long non-coding RNA of Anolis carolinensis (green anole), 643 nucleotides long. RefSeq lists it as uncharacterized. The transcript is spliced from 2 exons. The record is from RefSeq and is a predicted model, not a curated record. Lineage: Eukaryota; Metazoa; Chordata; Lepidosauria; Squamata; Anolidae.